This 383-nucleotide ribosomal RNA is filed under the name Atractiella sp. RNAcentral describes it as "partial small subunit ribosomal RNA". It matches the Rfam family "Eukaryotic small subunit ribosomal RNA", at positions 587 to 975 of the family's 1831-position model. Lineage: Eukaryota; Fungi; Basidiomycota; Atractiellomycetes; Atractiellales; Hoehnelomycetaceae. The record is from RNAcentral.
AGUUUCAAGAGUGUAUAUUUUUGUUGUUGCAGUUAAAAAGCUCGUAGUCGAAUUUCGGGACUGUUCCUUGUGGUCGCUCCAUGUGGGUUGUACUGGGAGGGGGGUUCUUACCUCUUGAUGAACUGUUGUGUCCUUUAUUGGAUGGAGCAGGGAAGCAAGACUUUUACUUUGAGAAAAAUAGAGUGUUUAAAGCGGGCGAUUGCUUGAAUACAUUAGCAUGGAAUAAUAGAAUAGGAUUUUGGUUCUAUUUUGUUGGUUUGGGAGCCAAAGUAAUGGUUAAUAGGGAUAGUCGGGGGCACUAGUAUUCAAUAGUCAGAGGUGAAAUUCUUGGAUUUAUUGAGGACUAACUACUGCGAAAGCAUUUGCCAAGGAUGUUUUCAUUG